Molecule: non-coding RNA, 4239 nt
Organism: Phoenix dactylifera (date palm)
Lineage: Eukaryota; Viridiplantae; Streptophyta; Magnoliopsida; Arecales; Arecaceae
Source: RefSeq, a predicted model, not a curated record
AAGCUCGGUGGGAGCUUCGGUGAUGGCGAUGUUCUACAGGAGAGCGACGUCGCAAGCGUCGUCCUAAGGACUUGCAGCCCAAAAGUCCCCUAGAUGUUACCUGAUGGGGCUAUUUAUAGUCCCCGUAGAGAUGCCCAGGUGGCGGAGGUAUGGCCUGUCCUCAUCAUGAGAGGAGAUGAGUUUUAGACAGAUGGUGCGCAGCUAGAGCUUGCUGAGGCGUACGGCAUAGGCUGUUUCUGUGAAUAGUAUGGCGUUGGAUAUGGUACCUGAUUGAUAUGUCGUGGUGUGGCCAACAAGCAAAACAUGGUGCGGUGAGGCUGCUGCAGGGCAUGGCCGUAGCAUGUGGAUGACGAGAUCAACCUUCUGAGGUCGGCCUUUUGGGGCCGUCCUUAUGAGGUCGGCUCGGCCUUCUGGGGCCGUCCUUCUGAAAUCGGCCUUCGAAGCUCGGCCUGGAUUUUGGCGGGGGCGAGGUCUGCUCGGUCGGAAUUGGGUAACUCCAUGCCGGAAUAGGACGAUCCAUUCUGCCCCCCAUCAAUAGGCAUUUUCUUGGAUGAUGCAUUUAAUUUGGAAGGCCCGAGAUGGUCACGCGUUUGUGCAUUUUUUUAACGGCGAGGGGUUCCUGCCAUGCUGCAGCUGUUAGAAAUUGAGUUAUUCUCGAACAUUUUGGUGGUGGUAAUAAUUAAACCAGACAGAUAUCGAUUUGAUUCGGUGGAAUCUCUUGCAUAUCUUAUAUUAUAUGCUUGUUAAAUUCUAGAUAUAGCAUGCAUCCAUUUGAUUUGGUGGAAUCUAUAGCAUAUAUGCUUGUUAAAUUCUAGAUAUAGCAUGUAUAUGUGGAAAGAAGGUGGUGAUUGUUUAAUUCAUUUUGGAGAUUUGUUAACAGGGUAUGCGCUGAAUGCCUGAUAGUGGCAGAUUAAAUUGUUUGUGAUUCACCGCGAUUAAUCCUACACAACUUUGAGUUUAGUUCACGAGACCUGCUUCAAUAAUAUGACCUAGGACCUUGAAAUUGAAACUAUGUGAAAGCUAAGUUUUCAGCUUGGAUUAGACAUCAGAAUUCCCUUUGGACAAACAAUUGUAUGAAUAGUUACCACUUACUAAAAGAUAAUAAAUUUAUAGUCAAUUAAAUAAUAUUAAUGUUUUUUGAUAAGCAUUCUAUUUAGUUAUAGCCUUGUUAAAAUCAAUCGAGCUAUUCAAUAGUGUUAUCUAACUACUCUAUCGGCCAAGUGCCUGAUCAAUCUGAACAAAAAAUUUCAAUUAGUUCCAUAAAAUCAUUUGCUUAAUUGCAAGAAUAUGAAUUACUAUUGUUAUUAGUGUAUGUGGCACAUCAUCACAAGUGCAACAAUAUAAAGAGUUCAACUGUCUCCUAUGGUGAAGUAAUUGUUAAAAUAACUACGCAAAACUAAGCAGGCCUUGCAUAUGACUAUUGUCUAAAAUAAUAAGCAAGACAUAAUUUGGGAAGGUUCAUUAGCUCAGGGAAUUAAGCCUCACCACCAUGGUAGAGGAAUUAUAAAAGAGAUAUAAUUAGAUGAAUUUAUGGAAUACUUUAUGGAGCUAUUGAAGAACUAUAGAAACGGAAUAUCCAAUACCUAAAUAUUCUGAACUAGACACAGAACUGUUUUAUGUAUCAGAGCAAAUUCCAGAGGGCUGAAUUUAAGUCCAUUUAUGUUUUCUUUAUAUCAUGCUUCUCAUUGUUCUUCUUGUUAUUUUAUGGUUAUUGCUCAUGCUACUGGUCAAAUAUUCAAUAGUUUAUUGUAUUCUUCCAACUUAGAUUUAGUCUGGAUAAACUGACAGGGUGCUCAUUCAUUUCACACAAUAACUUCUUUAUUUGGGAAUAAAUUUUUGGUAUAGAGUGUGAAAGUGAUGCAACAAUCAGCAGAACAACAAAAAUACCAUUCUAGGUUUCAUUGCUGCCAACAUAUUUAUGCUGAUUGACUACAUGGUUGUGCUCAUUGUUAUUGAAUUCAUAUCUACUCAAAUGUUCGCUUUCCUGUUCAUAUUAUGCUCUGAUAUGUUAUCUUGUUCUUUAGAGGCAGCAGUUGAUAAUGGUCAAUUAAUUGCUUUCCAACCUAGAUCCCUUGCUCCUUGAGUGUCUCACUCAAUGUUUGCAGGUGAUCUAUUACUUAUAGCCAAAGUGACAGUUCGUAAUGCACAUACCCUCAAGAGGAUUAUGCUUCAGUAUUGUAAUCGAUCUUGCAGUACGUGAAUCUUUCCAAGUCACAUAUGCAUUUCAGCCAUAAAACUGAAACAGCUGCUCAAUUGAGCAUUCAAAAUGUGCUCCUUAUUCCUGUGAAAUAGGGUUAAUAAUCGACUUAAUUGGCACUUACCUCCAUUCCUUUAUACUCGAGUGCAAACUGCCCUGUUCCUCAAGCUGUUAUUCCGGCUCUUGAAAGAACUCUCGAAGGUAAUUUGUGGGAACAUGACACAAGCCAGAGGAAACUACAUUUGACUUCUUGGGAUAAUGUAUGUGCAUUCAAAGCAGAAGGUGGGUUCCUAGUACCGUAAUCCCUGUGGAGAUAGGUAGUUUCAUCUAAAUAUAGAUUCCCUGGGACCUGGAUGGAUUAUACAAAGUCGUGGAACUCUUCAGCAAUCUGGGAGGUUAUUUGUGCCAGUGCUUCAGGUUCUCCAGGAUUCCUUUCAUUGGUAGUUGGGUAACGGCCAUCAGAUUAAAUUAUUAGAGGAUGUGUGGCAUGUUAAGGUGCCACUGAAUCAAAUACCAAUUCCACUCAUUGUUGACUAUUGCCAGGAUGUUUAUUAGUUUCUUAAUUCAUUAGUUCUGAUCAGGAUUGGGAUGUUCAUAUGCUUAACUACAUGUUUCCAGGUGAGUUGGUUGAAAGAAUUUUGAGUAUCUCUAUUGCUAAGAACAACUUGGCUGAUAGAUUGGCGUGGGGUGAUAGUAACUCAAGUAAGAUUAGUACUUGGGAUGCUUACGAUCUUUAUCUCCACAACCUCUGCUGCAAAACAAUAUUAAAUUUAAUUGGUUCUGGAAGCAAACUGUUGCUCCAAGGGUUAAAUGCUCUGGCGGAAGGUCCCUUGGGGAUGCCUUCCUUGUAAAACUUUGUUAUCUCAGAGGCAUCUCCUAACCAAGCAAAGCUCAUGCUCUGAUGUUUGCACUGAUUGAAUGCCGGAUAUUCCUCAUAUUCUGGUCAACUCUCAGAUGGCUCCAGGAGUGCGGAGCUGUCUUGCUGCGGAACAAGCUAUUCCUGGGCUUUUCAGACACUUGGGGCCAUGAUGGAGGAUCUCGUGGAGCACCAGCUAACAGAGACAACCAAGUCCUGGACUUAUCAUGCUCGCUGGUUUGUGUGGUAUGCAAGGAAUAAAGUGAUCUUCCAGUGUAAUGACUUAAUAACUCUACUGUUCAUCAAUGCUGCUUCACUCAUGACCUCUACUGUUGUUCCAUGGCACUGGGGUGCUUCAUUCUACAAACCCCACAAAUUCACCUAUUGUGGUGUGGUGGGUACCCCCUCCCCAUGGUGUGGUUAAGGUCAAGUUUGAUGGUUCACUCAGCGGAAGAGAUGCGGGAGUCGGCUUCAUCAUCUGGGAUCAGACAGGGGAAGGUUCUCUAAGCUGGUUCAAGAGCACUACAAUCUAAGUCUGUACAAUGGUUGAAUUGUGGGCGGCAUGGGAAGGACUUGUCACUGAUGUGCACAAGCUGCAUCUUCAUCACAUUUGGAUGGAAGGGACUCUGUGACGGUCGAUUCAAUGGAUCAACAAUGCUGCUACCUUUACAAUGAGCCAGCUUGCUUCAGGUCAUCACAGAGCUUAAAAUCACUCUCUCCCCUUCCUUGCUGCACAAACUUAUUGGGGCAGAUUGGUCAGCUAUCAGAAGAUCAAAGCAAGACUUUCUUACUCGUGCAAACACUCCCUCCUGAGCUCUCUCCUGGUGGAUGCAGAUGGCUGGUUGUCUUUCUUUCCAUGAUACACAAACUUAUUACUUGCUACACAAACUUAUGGGGGCAGAUUGGUUAGCUAUCAGAAUAUCAGAGCAAGACUUUCUUACCCGUACGUGCACUUCCCCAUGAGCUCUCUCCUGGUGGAUGCUGAUGGCUUUGUUUGUCUUUCUUUUCUGUGAUACCUCCCAUUGUACCCAGAAAAGAAAUCUCUUUUGGUUGGACUACACAUUCAGAUGUAAAUUACUCUUAUCCACUAUAUGUUCUAGUCUAAACUGAAGCAAGUGUUGUGACAGGCCUGACUAAGGUUUUAUAUGAUUAUUUGAAAAUGGCAACGGCUUUGUUCUUGUUGGAA